UAAGGGCACCACAAGAACGCGUGGAGCAUGUGGCUUAAUUUGACUCAACGCGGGGAAUCUUACUAGGUCCGGACCGAUUCUAUGAUCGUCGUACUGUGGGGUGCUACGUGAUUACUGGAUGAGUGGUGCAUGGCCGUUCUUAGUUCGUGGUGUUAAUUGUCUACUUAAUUGUCAUCGUCGUUCCGUGUUCACAGCUCGGAGCUAUGAACGAACGAGAUCGAGACCCGUGGUUGCGUGUGUUUGAAUUCGGUAUUACUACGGGGAUCGCGUAUUACUCCACGGUACGAUCGAAAGACUCGGCAAUAACAGGUCUGUGAUGCCCUCAGAUGUUCUAGGCUGCACACGUGCUACAGUGUGGUUCUGUUCAUAUGUGUAUGCGUAGACUUGAGAUCCCCCGCACCGAGUCAUAACUGGUCACACGGUUGGGCUCACCGAUUGUCAAUUAUUCGGUAUCUUAACUAGGAAUGCCUCGUACGGG
Molecule: ribosomal RNA, 478 nt
Filed under: Amphistegina lobifera
Lineage: Eukaryota; Foraminifera; Rotaliida; Amphisteginidae
Description: SSU rRNA
Rfam family: Eukaryotic small subunit ribosomal RNA
Source: RNAcentral